AAAAUUGAGAAUGGAAAUGGGGAAUGUGCCAAAGAGACAACAACCCGACCAUAGAAAAAAACAACUGCAGAAGGUCACCAACAGGUCUUCAAUGUAGCGAGAAAUUCCCGCACCCGGAGGCAUCCUUCAGCUGGCCCCUAAACAAAUAUAUACUAGUUCAGUGAUAAUGAACGCCAUACUAAUUUCCAAAUUGUACACAAGAAACUAAAAUUAAAAUAAUACAAGACUAACAAAGGCCAGAGGCUCCUGACUUGGGACAGGCGCAAAAAUGCGGCGGGGUUUAACAUGUUUGUGAGAUCUCAACCCUCCCCCUAUUCCUCUAGCCAAUGUAGAAAAGUAAACGCAUAACAAUACGCAC
RNAcentral lists this long non-coding RNA (358 nucleotides) under Mytilus galloprovincialis (Mediterranean mussel). The record is from RNAcentral. Lineage: Eukaryota; Metazoa; Mollusca; Bivalvia; Mytilida; Mytilidae.